Salarias fasciatus (jewelled blenny) is the source of this 123-nucleotide long non-coding RNA. RefSeq lists it as uncharacterized. The record is from RefSeq and is a predicted model, not a curated record. The transcript has 4 exons. Lineage: Eukaryota; Metazoa; Chordata; Actinopteri; Blenniiformes; Blenniidae.
AAUGCACAAGGUGUAAAGAAGAAAUCUUCAUAAAGCAAGAAAAGCAAGCCUUGUGUACGAAGCCUUCAUUAUUGGUUCGCUGGCUGUCUAGCAACAUAGAGACACGUGUCGCGAGGACAGCAC